AGAGACAUAACUUUAUUGCAGUUUUACCUGUUUAGUGGAAAUAAAUACAUUUUGUAAACUUUGGAAAAGUGCAUCUCUGAAAAAACUUAAUCAUCAUUAUCUUCAUCUAUCCAAAACACAUAAAUACCAAACAUAGGCACGAGCCUUGUAGCAGUUAGUGGUACAGUGCUAAUGGCAAUCAUUCAAAUUCUCUUCAAUCCUCCACAGAGAAGUCUGUCAUCAAGGCACACUGGCCAGAAAGGUUAAGUAAGUUUUGGCAGAACUACAAAGUAUUUACAAUUAAGACCAAUAACUUCAGAGAUGCAGAAGUGUGAGAGGAGAGUUGUCUGUGCCUUCUGCAGCACUGAGGAUUAAGAUUCUGCCCAGCUCCUCACAUAUUUGAUUGCUUGAUUUAUUUCCUGGGAGCCCUUCAUUUCAGAUGGCAUUCUACUUCUUUAUCUUUUUUGUGCACAUUUUAACUUGUUUACUGAUUUACUAAGCAACUUUAUAUUAGCUCCCACCCAAAGGACUGCUGAAACUGCUCUAAGUAUUUACUUUCAAUCAGACAGCUUUUCUCUUCCAUUUGUUUUCUUGACAUUAUCGGUGCCUUCAUAUGAAAGAAGAAGCUCCAGCAGGGCACCUCUAUCACAGUGGCUACACAUUUUAAUCAGAAGGUAGAGGAAACAAAUCUGAAAAAAUUAAUAUAAAUUGGAUGCUUGAACUUUAUAACAUGACUCUCUCACAGCUUUAUGUCACAGGCAUGAUAGCUACUGCAAUAGGAAAAGUUCUGCUCAGUGAAUAAUUGGAGAAUACACUUCUGAUGUUUUUUCAGAGACAAUUUACAGAAUACAGCUGCCUCCACUCAGAUCAAAGUCCCUGUUAAAAUGGCCAGAUUUCUCUUUCCUGAUAGGAUCUGCUCUUCAGCUUCUACACUGAGGGGUCCUCUGAUCUCCCUCUGACACUGACAGCAGAGGUCCACAUUGGAACAUGGUCUUUCAGUAAAAAAUCAAAGUAUGCCAAUAGCUACACAUGAAUAUAUAACCUGAUCCUACAGAUCUAAGCCUGGCAGAGUAACCUGCUUAUUUCUUACAAUCACCAGUAAUUUCAAACACAUACAUGCUUAUUUUCACUUUUAACCCAGCUAAAAUAAAUCUGGGUCUCUUUCAGUGGGCCUUGCCAAAGAGAACACAUGUAUGAGGGUUUCAGGAUACUUAGGUUUAUAGGGAAGUUUCAGGGGUAGGGAAAAAUGCUCAGAUUUCCUUUAGUGGAUUCUAUAGGGCUUUCUAAUUUAUAGUUGCUUUUCCCUGGGAAGGACUUUAGAGCAGACCCAGGUUGUCACUGAAGGUCAGUAUGAAAAUCCCUUUAAUUUUGUGAAUUUCCAAGCUCUUUUGUGGUUAAAUUACCAAAGACAAACACUGAACAUGAGAAAAGUACCAAAGAACACCAACAACUUUAAACCAGAUUUCCAUCAUCUCUAGAAACUACUGGGAGUACAGUGAGCUUAACAUAUUGGGUGGUAGACACAGACAGAUAAUUAAAUAAAAGAAACCCUUUCACUCCCACAGAGCCAGAGCAGCACCCACACUGCCUGACUCCAGGCCUGACUGAGCUGUUCCUACUACUUUCAAUUCAAACUAUGAAGAAGCAGACACAAACCUCAGAAGCAGGAAAACCAUGGCUCCUUCUCCCAUGGAAAAAAAGCCCCAAAACUACCCAAUUCCCAUGUUCCUGAAUUUCUGUAGCUGAUUUCUUGGUGACAUUUUUCAUCUUGACAGCACAUUCAUGAAAUGUGACAAAUUUAGGCAACAGUCUCGCACUGAAAAAUGUUCCUGUGAACUUUUCCCAGUUAAGCUGCAAUGAAUUUGCUUAGCAAAAAACAAAAGGUUUUCCCUCAGCUUAGCUUCCAGUUACUUUGAUACAUGACGCUUCAAGUAGUUUUAAAAAAUGGACCCGGCAUGGGUUUUGUAUUAGUUUUUGAAGCUCAGAUCAUCGUUCAAGAUGCUGUGACAUUUCUCACUGCUGGGUCUGAGAGAGGACUCUGGGCUUUUGCAGUCCCAAGGCAUCACCACCACCCAUUUCCAGAGUGCAAUUUUCCAAAGCACCCUUUCAGUUUGUGGCAGCAGCUCAGGGUGUGACAUCAGCUGGCUCUGCAGGGGCACCACUGCUGCCUAAUGCAAUCUUUAAUUGUCAGCUGUCACAGCUCUGGCCAGGCUAGCUGGGACCUGGCUGCUGCUUUUCACCCAUCCAAGGAUGAGCCAGGCUGGCCUGGGGAGGUCUCACAUGCCUGAAAUGAAGCCAUGAACCCUGUCACAAAACCAGAAUGGAAGCUCUGACAAGCUGUGAAGGACUGGAGUGAAUGGUGGCCUGGGAGGGUCACAGACAAGAUAGCUGGGCUCAGCAGGUACCUGUGGUAUUUCAUGGAUUAUUAUUCUAAAUGAAAAUACAGGCUGGCACGUUUGUGUGGAAUGCAGAGGACGAGGGUGAGGAACUGCACAUGGGAGGGGUGUUCAGGAGGCUCUCAGCCAGCUGCACUCACAGCCUAACAGCCAAGAGGCUUUUAAUUCUCUUCUGCUUUUACAACCUCUCUCUACCUCAUGAGUGGAAUUUCAACACUAAAACUCUGAAGGUCAUGUUUUGGUGAAUGUUUAGCUUCACAACCAUACUUUCUACACAGCUUUUCCUCAUCCAUGGGGCUUUAACCAAGACAGCAGGACUUGGUACUUUUAUCUCAGAAGUGUACUUGCUGAGAUACAUUCCGACUUGGGUGCGUGACCAGGUUGCCACAUAUUAUAGAAAAAAAUCUGUGUAUUCAUUACUAGAGACUUCUGAGAUCAACAGCAAAACUAAAACUUCAAGAUCCUUUCAAAGCAUAUCCUAAAGCCCCCUGGAUAUUUCUAUUUUAUAUAAGCUGCUCUUAUGCUCUGCCUACAAGGGUCCCACUGUAAAUGUAAAGAGCCUUUGAGGCUGUGCUAGCAGGACUAAAUUGUAAGAUGGUUUUGGCUGGACCAAAAACACAAAACCCCAGAUUUUUCUUGUAGUGGAAUUUGUUCUUACAAUAGAAGCCAGGUAGGAAGAAAUUAAAAAUCAGCUGCCACAGCAAAUGGGUACAAAAAUUGUUUUGGAUGCUAAAUACAAUGAGAAACGGAAACCAAACUGCAGUAGGGUAACACACACAUUUUAUCAUCACCAUGGAAUUAACAUAGCCCACAGCCAGUCAGGAACAGAACAAAAAGCACACAAAGGAGAAUUUUAUACUAACAGUGUUCUCCUAGGGGAUAAAUGUUAUACAAAUACCAGAAAUGCUCAACCUUAUCCUCGAGAAGCAGUGUGUUUCUUGAAAUGGGAUGCUAGCAUGUUCAAAACUAAACUAGUCUCUGUGUUCUUAGGAACACUGCACUGCAAAUGUGACUCUGCUUGAAACUUCCCCUUUGCAGUCUGCUGGGGUAGUUUAACAACAGAUCUAUUAAUUUCAUCUCUCCCCAUGAAACAACUAGUACGCUGAGCUCUAAAUACUGUGCCUGUGGGAACAGUUUGUUUAUUCUUGCUUAGCAUGAGAAAUUCUAUAAGAACAACUUGUGAAUAGAAAAUUUAGAAACUUUAAAAUUAGAAGAUUGGAACCAUUGUUUCAAGAUUGAGCACCAACAAUUCAUUUAGGGGAAAUUCACUUGUGUGAAACUUGUGUUUCUCAGAGCUUCAGGCACAUUGGACAAUUGCUGGCCUUUGAUCUUCAAUAAAAUGCAGUUAGUUCAGCUCUUCCUUCCACAAAUCCUAAAUUUUCAUCCACAAUUCCUAAAACCUUUGAGCACGUAUGACAAAAUGCAAAUCAGGCUAGGAAAUGUUCAUCUGUGAUCAGCACCUAAUGAUUUGAGUGACCUGAAUUUGGAGAAUAUUCAUGGAAGCAUAAUAAUUAGACAUGGAAAAGACCUGAGGCUGUCUUCUAUUACCUAGUUAGUGCAGCACUGAGCCAAGACUGAUUACUUUUGACCAAUCUCAUUUUGCAAAGAACUGUGUGAAGAAUCUUCCACUCCCUCUCUUGAGAGGCUUUCCCAAUAAAGCAGAUCUUGCUUUUAAAAUAUUUGUCUUGAUAACCUGUAUCCACUUUUUGAGCAGGCUACGUCACUUUAAUAUUAGGCACGCAUUGCCUUGCUUUAAAGGAAAGUGUGUUCAGCUUUAUCAAAUAUCCAAGGAUGUUCCAGUGGCUCUUAAGCUUUUGUUUGGUUGCAUUGUUCUCUAUGUGCUCUUCUCUUCAGCACUUCAGAAUCUCAAGGGCAUUCCUCAUAUAUCUCCUGUACAAAUUUAGUCCUCCAGAAAAUGGAUAAGAAAUGAGAAAUUUUACUAGAAGUAGCCUAUGAAAUCCCCACUAGACUGCACAGAUGGCCAGAAAUCAUAAUUGGAAGCACUCAUACAUAUUUCAGAGUGAUACACUGGAAAAAAAAAAA
RNAcentral lists this long non-coding RNA (4418 nucleotides) under Taeniopygia guttata (zebra finch). RNAcentral describes it as "lncRNA (ENSTGUG00000023215.1)". Lineage: Eukaryota; Metazoa; Chordata; Aves; Passeriformes; Estrildidae. The record is from RNAcentral.